This 419-nucleotide ribosomal RNA is filed under the name Ctenocephalides felis (cat flea). RNAcentral's name for it is "partial 16S ribosomal RNA". The record is from RNAcentral. Lineage: Eukaryota; Metazoa; Arthropoda; Insecta; Siphonaptera; Pulicidae.
CCGCCUGUUUAUCAAAAACAGGUUUUUUUGAAAAUAAAAUAAAGUUUAAUUUGCCCAUUGAAGAUUUAAAAGGCCGCAGUAAUUUGACUGUGCAAAGGUAGCAUAAUCAAUAGUUUUUUAAUUGAAAGCUGGAAUGAAUGAUUGAAUGAAAUAUUAACUGUCUUAAUAAAAUUGUUAUAGAAUUUAAUUUUUAUGUUAAAAAGCGUAAAUAUUAUUAAAGGACGAGAAGACCCUUUAAAGUUUUAUAUAUAAAUAUAGAUUAAUUUUAAGAAUAUUAUUAAAUUUAUUUAUAUUAAUAUAUUUUAUUGGGGUGAUAGGAAAAUUUAUAAAACUUUUUUUUUAUUAAAACAUAAAUAAUUGAAUAAUUGAUCCAUAAAUUAUGAUUAAAAGAUUAAGUUACUUAGGGAUAACAACGUAAA